RNAcentral lists this ribosomal RNA (779 nucleotides) under uncultured Neocallimastigales. RNAcentral's name for it is "partial large subunit ribosomal RNA". It matches the Rfam family "Eukaryotic large subunit ribosomal RNA", at positions 23 to 646 of the family's 3401-position model. The record is from RNAcentral. Lineage: Eukaryota; Fungi; Neocallimastigomycota; Neocallimastigomycetes; Neocallimastigales.
AGAGAUGUGUGAUGACGCAUAUCAAUAAGCGGAGGAAAAGAAACUAACAAGGAUUCCCUUAGUAACGGCGAGUGAAGCGGGAAGAGCUCAAAUUUGAAAUCUUCAAGGUUCUACCUUGACGAAUUGUAGUUUAUAGAAGUGUUUUCUGUUAGUAGAGUGGCAAAAGUUCUUUGGAAUAGGACAUCAUAGAGGGUGAGAAUCCCGUAUUUGGUCAUUCUUUCUAGCUACGUUGUGAUACACUUUCAAAGAGUCGGAUUGUUUGGGAAUGCAGUCCAAAAUGGGUGGUAAAUUUCAUCUAAAGCUAAAUAUUGGCGAGAGACCGAUAGCGAACAAGUACCGUGAGGGAAAGAUGAAAAGAACUUUGAAAAGAGAGUUAAACAGUACGUGAAAUUGUCAAAAGGGAAGCGUUUGACACCAGUGUUGUUUUUCCGAAAAUCAAUUACGAAUGUUUUGUUUUUAAGAAGUUAUGACUUCAUCGGCUUGCUUCUUUCUUUACUGAAACUUUCUUAAUGCACUUUUCGGUUAACAAGUCAACAUCAAUUUCUUUUGUUGUAAAAGGGUACUGAGGAAGGUGGCUUUCUUUUCGGAGAAAGUGUUUAUAGCCUUGUACCUCUGCAAUCGGAGAGAUUGAGGUCUGCAGCGUAGAUCCUUCGGGGUUAGAUACAUUUGUGCUAAGUUAUAGCUUUUCAUAGACAACUUGUUGACUAUGUUAAGUCUUGUAGCUUACUCGCUUAUGCUAUUUUACCUACGCUUAGGAUGUUGACGAUCAGCUGAGCGCG